CACAGUAUAGGGAUGAACAGUAGUGCCACUCAGGGUCAAAAAGUGUCCCGAGCUUUUAAUUUAGGUCCCAGACCUUCUACGCGGCCAAAAAAUCGGCAGCCAGUAAACACACUAUAUGACAGCCAGUUUUAAUAUAUAAAUAAAGAAGAAAGGUUUCGAGAAAACGAUAUCAUGUCAUAAAUAAUACAUCGAUUUUUACUCCUAAGCCAUGGAAAGGAAAAGGAGGACACUUAGACUUACCUGGUUAUGUUUCUUGCUGUUCAAAGGUGACAAGUUUUGAAGAAUGAAACAAUUUUGUCGAAGCGAUGAGUGAUGCCCGAUGGAACACAAAGACUUUGAUUAAAGUUAUGCUAUUUACUAUUUAGUAGAGGUUUUUUCUAAACAUUUACAUGUAUUAUGCUGCUAUACCUGAACAUGCUUUAACAUGCUUUAUUAAUUAAUAUUGUACACAACUGUCGUUUGCUAUUGUACUGUGCUACUGUUGUACUGUAACAAGUUUAGACUAAAAACAAAACUUUAAGGAAAUGUAAAAUUUCGGUAUUAAAGCUUCAAGAACCGGUAGAGUAAACAUAUUAAAAAUAAUAUCUUUGAUUAUCUUUAAAUUUUGUAUUUUUAUCAAUCUUAUUUUUGUACAAUUAUUCAAUAAACAUG
This 651-nucleotide long non-coding RNA is filed under the name Paramuricea clavata. Lineage: Eukaryota; Metazoa; Cnidaria; Anthozoa; Malacalcyonacea; Plexauridae. The record is from RNAcentral.